Homo sapiens (human) is the source of this 1364-nucleotide long non-coding RNA. Ensembl annotates it as long intergenic non-protein coding RNA 2517. NCBI's taxonomy places the organism in Eukaryota, Metazoa, Chordata, Mammalia, Primates, Hominidae. The record is from Ensembl.
AGGUCUGGGAGAGGUGACUGCCGAGGCGGCCAUCCUGCUUGGCCAGCUGAAGGUUUGAGACUCAGGAUGGGGUCAUGGCUGAGACUAUGAGGGCUGCUCGUGCAUGACCCUGCCUGCUGGCCUCCAUGGGCCCACUAUCUGAAUGUGGUUACCCUUCUCCCCAGGACCAGGUGCCACCUCCUCUGGGAAGCUUUCCCUGCCCGUCCACAGGGUAUGCCUCCUUGUUCCUCUCCUGCCAUCGGUUUACGUGCCUGUCUCCAUCAACAGACCAGGAGCUCCUGAGGACAGGGACUGAGUCUGCCUGAUUCAUCUCUGCAUUCCUAGCACUUACCUUGGUGCUUAGUGAAAGCUCGAACCUGCCUGGGUUCCCACCUUGUCUCUGCUACCCCCAGCUCUGUGAACUCAGCUCCUGCCUCUGUGAGUCACCCCCCCAAGUGCUCUGCCUGCAGCCACUUGCCCUGGCAGGAAGACCCUUGGGCAGGCCCCACCAUGGCUCCACUCUGGAAUGCUGGGCACUUUGCCCCACUACGCUCUACAAAGGCAUCCCUUCCUUCUGGGCAGAUAUAAAACACAGAGGGGCCCAGAUCUCAGGCCAGCCUGAACUGAGCUUCUCUGCAGGAUGAUCUCCUCACCAGAACCCCUGGACAGGAGGGUCUGCCAGAUCCCAGGAAGGAGAUGUGUGAAGCCAGCCUUGGUGACACUCCUGGGCCCCAUCCAGUCAGUUAUGAAAAGUCUCUGCUGCUAAACUCAUCUGCCUCAGCCUGUCUCUGGCCUGUCUUCUUUCUUUCUGCAUUUCUUCCUUUUAAAAAAGUUUAUUGCUCUUUUCUAAUGUUAAAAGUAACACAUACUGAUUGCAGAAAAUCCAGAAAAGCACAAAGAAAAAAAUUAAAAUCACUCGUAAUGUCAACAUGCAGUGACAUCUACUGAUGUUUGAGUGUGUGUCCAUAUAGUCUUUUUGUAAGGUCCUGGACAGAGCAAGCAAGCAGUCUUUUUUGAUAUCCACAGAAUAACUUGCUAGGGUCUUGAUUGGAAUGGCAUCGGGUCUAUAAAGACUGACAUCUUGAUGAUAUUGAAUCUUCCUAUCCAUGAACAUGGGAUAUCUCUCUAUUUAUUUAGUUCUUUGAUUUUCCAGUCUUUUUUCUAUGUCUGAAUUUUGUUGACUGAAAACACCCUCUAAGUAGGUUUCAGUCCUGCUUUCUCCCUUAAUGUUAUGUCAUGUUAAGCCUCUCUCUAAGCAGAGAUGUUAAUUACUGCCUCAUUUUCCAAUAUGUGGAGACACAGAAAUGUGCCUAACCAUUCACCAUUAUUGUACUUCUAGGUUGUUUUCAGGUUUGUCACUAACUAUAAAAACAAUAAUAAAAUCA